GUGCCAAGCAGCCGCGGUAAUUCCAGCUCCAAUAGCGUAUAUUAAAGUUGUUGCAGUUAAAAAGCUCGUAGUUGAACCUUGGGUCUGGCUGGCCGGUCCGCCUCACCGCGUGUACUGGUCCGGCCGGACCUUUCCUUCUGGGGAGCCGCAUGCCCUUCACUGGGCGUGUCGGGGAACCAGGACUUUUACUUUGAAAAAAUUAGAGUGUUCAAAGCAGGCCUUUGCUCGAAUACAUUAGCAUGGAAUAAUAGAAUAGGACGUGCGGUUCUAUUUUGUUGGUUUCUAGGACCGCCGUAAUGAUUAAUAGGGAUAGUCGGGGGCAUCCGUAUUCAAUUGUCAGAGGUGAAAUUCUUGGAUUUAUUGAAGACGAACUACUGCGAAAGCAUUUGCCAAGGAUGUUUUCAUUAAUCAGUGAACGAAAGUUAGGGGAUCGAAGACGAUCGGAUACCGUCGUAGUCUUAACCAUAAACUAUGCCGACUCGGGAUCGGUGGGCGUUACUAUUUUGACUCCAUCGGCACCGUACGAGAAAUCAAAGUUUUUGGGUUCUGGGGGGAGUAUGGUCGCAAGGCUGAAACUUAAAGAAAUUGACGGAAGGGCACCACCAGGCGUGGAGCCUGCGGCUUAAUUUGACUCAACACGGGGAAACUCACCAGGUCCAGACACAAUAAGGAUUGACAGAUUGAGAGCUCUUUCUUGAUUUUGUGGGUGGUGGUGCAUGGCCGUUCUUAGUUGGUGGAGUGAUUUGUCUGCUUAAUUGCGAUAACGAACGAGACCUUAACCUGCUAAAUAGCCCGGCCCGCUUUGGCGGGUCGCCGGCUUCUUAGAGGGACUAUCGGCUCAAGCCGAUGGAAGUUUGAGGCAAUAACAGGUCUGUGAUGCCC
Molecule: ribosomal RNA, 882 nt
Filed under: uncultured eukaryote
Lineage: Eukaryota
Description: SSU rRNA
Rfam family: Eukaryotic small subunit ribosomal RNA
Source: RNAcentral